This 1244-nucleotide ribosomal RNA is filed under the name bioreactor metagenome. RNAcentral's name for it is "bacterial LSU rRNA". It matches the Rfam family "Bacterial large subunit ribosomal RNA", at positions 1671 to 2925 of the family's 2925-position model. The record is from RNAcentral.
GGAGAGAAUCCUAAGGCCGACGGGAGAAGCGUUGUUAAGGAACUCGGCAAAAUGACCCCGUAACUUCGGGAGAAGGGGUGCCUGCUUAGGCAGGCCGCAGAGAAUAGGCCCAAGCGACUGUUUAGCAAAAACACAGGUCUCUGCAAAACCGAGAGGUGAAGUAUAGGGGCUGACGCCUGCCCGGUGCUGGAAGGUUAAGGGGAAUGGUUAGCACUUGAUGCGAAGCUAUGAACUUAAGCCCCAGUAAACGGCGGCCGUAACUAUAACGGUCCUAAGGUAGCGAAAUUCCUUGUCGGGUAAGUUCCGACCCGCACGAAAGGCGUAACGAUUUGGGCACUGUCUCGACAACGCGCCCGGUGAAGUUGUAGUACCGGUGAAGAUGCCGGUUACCCGCGACAGGACGGAAAGACCCCAUGGAGCUUUACUCUAGCUUGAUAUUGGGAUUCGAUAUUACAUGUACAGGAUAGGAGGGAGGCUAUGAAGCGAGAACGCCAGUUUUCGUGGAGCCGCUGUUGGGAUACCUCUCUUGUAGUAUUGGAUUUCUAACCAUGCACCCUCAACGGGUGUUGGGACACUGUCAGGUGGGGAGUUUGACUGGGGCGGUCGCCUCCGAAAGGGUAUCGGAGGCGCUCAAAGGUCCUCUCAGAAUGGUUGGAAAUCAUUCGCAGAGUGCAAAGGCAUAAGAGGGCUUGACUGUGACACCGACGGGUGGAGCAGGUACGAAAGUAGGACUUAGUGAUCCGGUGGUAGAAAGUGGGAUUGCCAUCGCUCAACGGAUAAAAGCUACCCUGGGGAUAACAGGCUUAUCACUCCCAAGAGUUCACAUCGACGGAGUGGUUUGGCACCUCGAUGUCGGCUCAUCGCAUCCUGGGGCUGUAUUCGGUCCCAAGGGUUGGGCUGUUCGCCCAUUAAAGCGGUACGCGAGCUGGGUUCAGAACGUCGUGAGACAGUUCGGUCCCUAUCCGUCGUGGGCGCAAGAUAUUUGAGAGGAGCUGUCCUUAGUACGAGAGGACCGGGAUGGACUGACCUCUGGUGUAUCUGUUGUCUUACCAAAGGCAUAGCAGAGUAGCCAAGUCGGGAAGGGAUAAACGCUGAAGGCAUCUAAGCGUGAAGCCCCCCUCAAGAUAAGAUAUCUCAUCCGAAAGGAGUAAGACCCCUGGAAGACUACCAGGUUGAUAGGUCAAGGGUGUACGCAUGGCAACAUGUUCAGCUGAUUGAUACUAAUAGGUCGAGGGCUUGAACAA